This 253-nucleotide ribosomal RNA is filed under the name uncultured bacterium. RNAcentral describes it as "partial 16S ribosomal RNA". It matches the Rfam family "Bacterial small subunit ribosomal RNA", at positions 524 to 776 of the family's 1533-position model. The record is from RNAcentral.
UACGUAGGGUGCAAGCGUUGCCCGGAUUUAUUGGGUUUAAAGGGUGCGUAGGCGGUUUUGUAAGUCAGUGGUGAAAUACUCCAGCUUAACUGGAGGGGUGCCAAUGAUACUGCAGAACUUGAGUACAGAUGAGGUAGGCGGAAUUGAUGGUGUAGCGGUGAAAUGCAUAGAUAUCGUCAAGAACACCGAUAGCGAAGGCAGCUUACUGGGCUGUAACUGACGCUGAGGCACGAAAGUGUGGGGAUCAAACAGG